Chlorocebus sabaeus (green monkey) is the source of this 738-nucleotide non-coding RNA. NCBI's taxonomy places the organism in Eukaryota, Metazoa, Chordata, Mammalia, Primates, Cercopithecidae. The record is from RefSeq and is a predicted model, not a curated record.
CAUGAGAUGUGAGCAAGGCUGGUGCUGGGGCUUCUUCUCCUGAAGGGGCUGCAAGAGGGAAGACUUAGCCAUGUCGUCCUUGAUCAAAACGGUGAUCAGCACCGCGAAAGCCCCAGGGGCCAUUGGACCCUACAGUCAAGCUGUGUUAGUGGACAAGACCAUUCACAUUUCAGGACAGAUAGGCAUGGACCCUUCAAGUGGACAGCUUGUGUCAGGAGGGGUAGCAGAAGAAGCUAAACAAGCUCUUUAAAACAUGGGUGAAAUUCUGAAAGCUGCAGGCUGUGAUUUCACUAAUGUGGUGAAAACAACCGUUCUUCUGGCUGACAUAAAUGACUUCAAUACUAUCAAUGAAAUCUACAAACAGUAUUUCAAGAGUAAUUUUCCUGCUAGAGCUGCUUACCAAGUUGCUGCUUUGCCCAAAGGUAGCCAAAUUGAAAUUGAAGCAGUAGCUGUCCAAGGACCGCCGACAACAGCAUCACUAUAAGUGGGCCAGUGCUUUGUAGUCUGGAAUUGUUAACAUUUUAAUUUUUACAAGUGAUGUAACAUCUUAAUUAACCUUUUAAUUUUCACAAUUGAUGACAAUGUGAGCUUGAUGAAAAUAUCUGAAGUUAUUAUGGAAAUACCAUAUAAUAGGGAGAGUUGAACAUGAAUUGAAGAUUAGAGAAGGAAUCCAGUUACUGUUUUAAAUUACACCUGUAUUACUGAAUAUAGGAAAGAGAUAUCCAUUACAUAGUUACU